Gadus macrocephalus (Pacific cod) is the source of this 3100-nucleotide long non-coding RNA. RefSeq lists it as uncharacterized. The transcript is spliced from 2 exons. The record is from RefSeq and is a predicted model, not a curated record. NCBI's taxonomy places the organism in Eukaryota, Metazoa, Chordata, Actinopteri, Gadiformes, Gadidae.
GGGGCCUAGCCAGAAAUGUAUUACAUGGGAAGUUGGUAAACACAUUGUAACGGAAUAAGAAUAUGUAGCUGCACUGAAAAUGUAAGAUAGAUGUCGAAAACUUAAAAACGUUCUCCCAAUGUUUUUAUUAUACUGUAAGUUAACUCCCCGUUUCAGCUCGAAUUAGAAUAGAAUGAAACUGAGGGCAGAGUGCUCGGGGACGUUGAACUGCCUCGGGAUAAGCACUUCGACGUCACUUAAAGUUAAUAAGGUCAGUUCAUUACAUGGUAGAAUGAUAGAAAACUGGUUGACCGACGUCCGAGACAGAAUAGGCCUACUAUGUUGAAGAUCAUAGACAUGUUACGACUAGUAUUAUUUAUAUUUAGAAUAACUAAUAAUGCUAUGACAAUAUAUAAAUGGCACAUCAAUCUUCUGCUGAUCUAUUUUUCUCCCUUGCUGGUGAUAGGGUUGACGCCAUCUUCUGUAUCCUUUCCUCUAUACUUGUUUCCUCUCUCCCCUCUCUCUCUAAUCCUCCGGCUCUCACCCUCCUCCCCUUGUCGCCACUCUUUUCCUUGUCACCUCUCCUCAUCUCUUCUUUCCUUUGUAAUUUUAAUCCAUAUAGUAAAAUUUCUAAAGAAGAAGCCCAUAGAAUGUAGGGGCCAGGUCUACACAUUACACUACUAACCUCCUCAGCCUACACUACUGCUCCAGAAACACGUCUGAGAAGUUUGGAAGUCUUUUAGCCUGAUUAUGCAGCACUCAUAAAUAGGAUCACAAAGGUGACGAACGCGAGUCGCAACAUGCCAUCAAUUGCAUUAUAUUUUAUCUAUCUAAAUCUAUGCCAAUAUUACCUUUCUAGAAAUAUAAAUGUAAACGUUUAACAUACAGUAAAACAUUUAUUCUAGCAGGUCAAAAGGUCUUGUUGCUAACCCCCCCCCCCCCCAAAAAAAGAAACUUCAGGUUAACUAAGCAUAAUAUUUGCAUAAUGAAUAAAAGGUUAAAAAAUAACAUUAAGAUGUUGUGUAUUUAAUUAAAACCGCAGGACUGUAAGUGAUCAUUUGGACAUGCAUGGAAAAGUAAGUAAAUAUAUUCAUAUAGUACAAGUACAAUACAAGGACAAUUCUGAAAUGGGAGUGUGAAAAAAACAUUAAAACACUCAGGGCAACAUUCACGUUGUUGCGUUCUCAGUAAAUUGUUAUUUUCAAAAGAAUUCUAGUCUUUGUUAAUAUGUCAAGAACGCUUUUAACAAUUUGCAUAUGACCAAUUAAAAAAAACAUAACUUAUAAUAGCUGACUUAAACUGACAGUCAAAAGGCAUUGCAGAAAUAAUCUCAUACGAUAUAAACUAUUGGGAUAAAAUAGGUCUGAUAGACAGGUCUAACAACAUUACUGAGUUGGGAAAAUGAAAUGCUUGUGUUAAACAAAUUAAGUUUCUAUAGUCAUUAGUACAAUGAGAUAGAGUUCAAGAGAUACAACAGCAAAAUGUAUAGUGCUUAACAUAACACACAACGAAAGACAUACAAGAUGAAAAAGAAAAGUGCCAAUGACAAUCACUAAAGCUAACUAUAGUUUGCAUUUUCAUUUCAGAUGAACCAUUGUCUUCAAAGAACAACCAGCAAAAUAUAGUGCUAGCACAAGUCUCUACAUUGUAUGAAGAGUGAAAUCCAGAAAAAUCUACUUGAACAGAAAAAAAACGCCACAAAAAACGUGCAUACUUUUAGUGCAUAAAGACAUGUCCUUAUGUUCAUGAACAGAAAUCCUACUUCUGCAAUGUUUCACAUUGCAAAUAAAUCACUGAUAUCGGAUAGCUCUGGUGGAGAAACUUUACUGAUUACAAAACCAAAAAUUCCUUGUAUGGGAGGUUUUAUCGACAUGGUAGUCCCGAUAAAAACGACCAUGUACCAUGACAGCAAGGGCCGUUAAUAUAUAUGUAUAUGUCUUCGCAUUAUUCCCUCACUAGGAGGGCAGACAAGUAUUCAUCACAUCAUUCAGGGGUUAUUUAAAUGAAAUUAACCCCAGUUCAAAAUGUGUAUUCUGUAUCCGACUGCAAUGGAUUUUCAUUCAGAAUAGAAAACAUCCAAUAUUGACAAUUUAUUUCAUUCAUAAGGCUGUUAUUCAUGCAGGAAAAUGUAUUUUUGAAUGGGGUAGUCGGAGGCACCAAUGUGAUUUUAAGGCAAAAUGAUGAAUCUCUGAGUGUGAGUGAAAGAGCAGUGAUAAAGAUUGUGAGCUCUGAACGCUAAAAACAACAGUCAAGGUAUUUUUUCCUGUAGUGGAAACUAGGGGUGUGCACGGGUACACGUGUAACCGGUUAGUAAAUCAUAACCGUUUAGGAAAAAUAAGUAAACGAAAACUAAAUCAAAAACGCUGCGCCAUUGUUUCAAUGGGAAUCGCGACGGUCCAUACUUUCAACAUAAUUUACAUAUUUAUAAUUCGAAAUUCGUCCCAGCCUUUAUACCACGGAUACUCUAGGGUCUAUAGCAUAUAACCGCUUUUUCUGAUUACAGUUUAAUGUAACAGUAAGCUGACAACAUCCUAAUUAACACUGCAACUGCAAAUUAACCGCACGGAGAUAACCAUGGCAACCGGUCAAACAAAGGUUAUUUUUGCAAUCAUUCUGCUCGCGCAUCCGCCUUGUUGAUAAACAAAUAUCCCCCUAUAGCGCGACUGCGGUUCACUUUAAAAAAAUAAUAUUUUUUUUCAUUAAUAAAAAAAAACGGUUAACCGUGUACACGAAAAAAAAAUAAAAGGGGUUGUGUAAACCGUUUACAAUUUUUUGUAACCGUUCACACCCCUAGUGGGAACCAGACAGGACAGGGAGCUCUCUAGAGAUGAUGGGAGAUCUGAUGGGUAGUCACUAUGGCUUAGUUAACAUUUGGUUUGUUCACUGAGAGGUUAAGGGCUGUGUUACACCUCAGCAAGCAGCCAGAAGUGUAAGGUGAGAGGUCACACAGAGAAACGUCAAUUCAUAGUCUCACAAAUAUAGAAAUGGCAUACAUUUAAAAAACAAUAAAUACCAUUAAUAACCUGGUGUAGAGAGGGAGAGUGAGAGCUGGAAAGCGGGUAUGUGAGUGACACAACAGAUUAAUUCCCUUCAGACUUGACAAAAAACAGUAAAAUAUAUU